ACCUACGGGAGGCAGCAGUGGGGAAUAUUGCACAAUGGGGGAAACCCUGAUGCAGCGACGCCGCGUGAGUGAAGAAGUAUUUCGGUAUGUAAAGCUCUAUCAGCAGGGAAGAAAUAGCGACCUUUGGGUCGCCAGACGGUACCUGACUAAGAAGCCCCGGCUAACUACGUGCCAGCAGCCGCGGUAAUACGUAGGGAGCAAGCGUUGUUCGGAAUGACUGGGCGUAAAGGGUGCGUAGGCGGUUGUACAAGUUAGAAGUGAAAUACCCAGGGCUUAACUCGGGUGCUGCUUCUAAAACUGUAUGA
Molecule: ribosomal RNA, 305 nt
Filed under: uncultured bacterium
Lineage: Bacteria
Description: bacterial SSU rRNA
Rfam family: Bacterial small subunit ribosomal RNA
Source: RNAcentral